UUCAUUGUUAAUGUUAAUAUUCUUUUGUUCUUUUGUUAUUAAGUGAUUAAAUCCUAAAUCAAAAACUACUAUUAACACUUAAAGUUUAAUAAAAAUUUUUAUACAAGAAUUAAUUUUUUUUUAUAAUUUUUAUCUUACCAAUAUGGAAGAAUGCCAUAGGAAGGUCAUUCUCACUAACAUUGACCUGUUAAUUGCACACACAAAAUACAAAGAACUUAUGGAGGCUUGUGUUAAAAACGGUUUGUUGUCUCACAUAAUGAGAAAAAACAUUGAGGUUGGACAAAAUGAUGAGGUCUUAAAACACAGACGGCUCUUGGAAAAAGUCACAAGAAGAGGACCUGAUGCUUACAACAAAUUCGUUGAGGUUUUACAACAGUUAAAUUAUUCAAAUGCUGCAAAAAUUGUACGACCAGGUGAGCAUAGUGGCACGAUGACAAGUAUUAAACAAAAGAAAUUGGAAAAACAAGCGUCAAUAAAAGAAAAUAACUGCAUAUCUAACAACGAAAAAAACACAAAUAAUUUUAAUUCUGAUGGUUGCAUUAUCUCACAAAUGGAUAUUGACGAAAAAGAUGGGUAUUCAAAAGAUUUAAGGCCAUAUUCAAGGGAAAUAUCAUCUGUUAAUCAAAAUGUUGUUGCUAAAUGUACUUCGAGUCCACAGCAUAUUGUGAAUCGCUCAAAAAUUAAAAUAUAUCAAAUGGUUAGCAAACAACGAGGAGUUUUCUUUUGCGUAAAUAUCAUUAACUUCAGAUACAAAAAUCAAUACAAACGUUCUGGAGCUGAAAUUGAUGGGCAAAGCCUCUUACAUUUGUUUAAAGAACUUGGCUAUUCACUUUUCUAUUACGAAGACUUAACAGCAGCUGAAUUCUUUUCACUUCUUAAAAAAUUAUUGGACUCAGAUUAUGUGAAAAAUGUAGAUAGUUUUGUUAUGGCGUUGAUGAGUCAUGGAGAAAUGGUGGAUAAAAUAACUGAUCGAGUUGAGUUCUCUGAUAGUUCGACGGUUACUGUGAAUAAUAUUCUAGAGCUUUUCCGGAAUGAUACAUGUGCAACAUUAGCUAAGAAACCAAAAGUCUUUAUAUUUCCUUUUUGCAGGGGCGCGAUAUCAGAUUUAGGGACCAAAGAUGUGCAAACAGAUAGUAUUAGCUAUAAUGUUGCUACUUUUACUGACAUUCUCAUUUGCUAUGCAACAGUGCCAGGAUAUAAGACCCACAGAGAUCCAGAUUCAGGAUCUUGGUAUAUUCAGAAAUUGUGCCAAGUUUUUGCCAGUCAUGCUUUUGACACUCAUAUAGAAGAUUUAUUAAAGCUUGUUGGUGAAGCUGCUGGUCAGAUCAGAACAAACGAUGGAAAAAUGCAAACUGCCAGUUAUUCAAGCUAUGGAUUCCACAAAAAACUGUUUUUCAAUCCUGGAUAUUAUGAGGUAUAAUUUAAACCUGUGUACAAUUCGUCACUUUGAAAUGAGUGAGUAGCUUCAAUCUUGGCUGAAAAGAUAAAACAGCAACUUAUUCUUUUCAGGUGACGAUAAGAGUUUCUAUGUAAAUAUGAAUAGAGCUUUUGUUCUCAUCAUUCCACCAAUCAUUGUCUCCCAGAAGCCGAAAUAGUUUGACUAUUCAACUUAACUAAGAUUCUCAUUUGGACUCUUUCUCUAAACAACAAAUAUUUUGCAAACAUUCAUAAACAAGAAUACUUCAUAUUAUAUAUUAUUUUUAUAUAAAAAAAAAGAAAGCAGUGUUUUUUUAGUAUUAUAUAUUUGAUACAUGGGUACCUACCUACCUACUUCUGUUCAAAUUAACAUACAAUUUUGUAUUACUAAUAUAAUGAAAUUUGUGUUCUUGAAGUACAUAUUAUAUUUUAACUUUUUGAUAUAAUACUAUAAAUUUUGAACACAUAGUAUUAGAUUUAAUUAAAUAUAUGCAUAGUUAUGUAAUAAUUAAAUUUACAAUUUACAUACAUUUUUAUAAGAAAUUUUUGUACAAAUAAAUAAUAUCUUAACUACAUUUGCAAAAGAUUUUUCAUUUUUUAAAUUUUCAAUACCCGGUAAGGCUUGAAUAUACAUACAUACAUACCCUUUAUAAUAGAAUUUACACAACGAAAUAAAUAUUAUUGAUUUAAUAAAAAUUUUGAAGAAAACGUCAAAAAUUUAGGUGUACAUACAUACAUAUAUGUUUUGGUAAUGUCUUGUAAUUAUUAUUAUACUCUGAUCUGCAAAUAAGAAAUACCUUGCCUUUUUAAGGUGAGGGUAUUAAGUUAUAAAAAUUUAUAGACGGCUUCGUUCGCAAUUAUUCUAUUGUUACAACCGCAAUUAUUCUAUUGUUAGAAUUGAAUUUACAGCCUGUUUGGUGUUUGAGAUUUUCAUACAUAUCCAGUUUUUAUCAGAACAUAACUUUUUGCUAUUUCAAAUAAAACAUUAUUGAAAGAAAGUUUUUUUUUGUGUUAUUUAUACUUUACAAAAAUUUUGUAAAUGGUUUAAAAAUUUAACAUUUUAGAAUGUUGCUACUUACUAAAAUAUAGUAUUAACAUUUUACGAUAUUUUCUUCAUUAAAUAAGAUAUACAGUUUUUUAUUUGAAAUUAACAUCAGAAAUGUCCGAUUCACUCUAAAUUUUCAAAAAAACUUACAAAAUAAACUAAGGUAACUGUAGUUAUUCAUUUAUGCCGAGAAAUACAUAGUUACUAAUGUAUAAAAUGUGCAUUAACUAGCAAAGCUAUAGAAAUGCUAUAUGGGUUAACUUUUAAAUGUGAUUGUAGCGUAUCGAAAAAAAAUUUUAAUACAAAUUUUUGAAAAAUUUAAAAAACAAAAAAACUCUGAUUUUGACGAGCUUUAUCUCGAAAAAUAUGGCACAAAUCACAUUGAUUGUAAGAAUGAAAAUGAAAAGUAACCAAUCGCUUUUAGAAUAAGCCUGCGAAGUUUAAUUUCAGGGAUGCCAAAUUGUAUGGGUAGGAAGAGUGCAGAUUUACACGCUUUCGAACUCAGCUUGUUGAGAAAAAAGGAUACUAGAUUACUGCAGAAAACCUUGCAAAAUCAAAAAGUUAAAUUUCCUGAGAAUACAAGUCAUUAUUUGGUAGUUGUGAAUGUUGACUUAAUUUUCAAGUUGUCUUUUCAGUAUGUUUUUCGAUUACAAUUACAAGUUCAGCGUUAUUAAUA
Molecule: RNA transcript, 3137 nt
Organism: Condylostylus longicornis
Lineage: Eukaryota; Metazoa; Arthropoda; Insecta; Diptera; Dolichopodidae
Gene: Dronc
Gene name: caspase Dronc
Exons: 5
Source: RefSeq, a predicted model, not a curated record